CAAUCCACAAGAAAUCAUUACUUAUACUCAACUAUAUGUGGAAACUGUUACAAGAUUUGCAAGAUUUAAAACAAAAACAGAAAAGAAAAAAUAACUCUCCACAAAAAAAAAAAUGUAAACUGCAACAUCAUGCUUCAAGAGCAUUAUCUUAUACAAGAAAAGAAAAAUGGUUACAACAGCUUUACUCACCUUUUAACUUCUGCUGGGUCUCUAACUUUCCUAAUCUUAUAUUUAAAAUGUAAAUUACAGGACCUACAAAAUUUACUAGGCUUAUGAAAAACCAGUUAAGACAAAAGGAAAAAAGUGUCUCUUUAAAAUCCAAACUGCUUGGCUGGCUGCCUUAUUUGUGUUCAGCUGGAUUUCUUGACCAGAUCCUCCCUAAUGUUACAGCACAGAAAGAGAAAAGUAGAAACAUUCUAAAUGAAAAGCUUUCUUUUUGAAAUAAGUUUUUUUCUUAAAACUUUCACAGACUUCCAACUGGCUCUUAUCUGAGCUAAAAGCACACUCUGACCUGAUAAAAAAAAAGUUAGUAUUACGGCGAUAUAAGUUUUUAAAUAUUCAUAUAAGUUGAUGUAUUUUUCUGAUCAGUCUGUUUUAUCUAACUAUAAAAGUUUUUACAUACUGUCUUUAUCCAAAGGCCAAUUUCUCCAGAGUUAACUCUCAAAUACAUUCAAAAAUUUCUUUUAAUAAAUCCUCAGGAGGAUAUAAAUAUGGUUAUGAUGGGAAUGGGUCUGAUAAGUAUCAAGGACAAAAAUGUCUGCUACCCUGAAACUCUUGAUUUCAGUGUCCAUGAUAGCUGUUAGACUUAUAUACCUGGCAUUUCCAAUUGUACAGGGCUGUCUUCUGUCUAUAUAUUAUGUACUUAAUAUCAAAAUUGACAUUUAGACAAAUGAGCACUCAUAAAUAAAAAUUUAAAUAAUUAAGUGAAUCCAAAUAAUUUAAUUCAAAUCAAAUAAUUAAAUAUAUGGAUGUCUCUAAAGUUCUGACUUAUGGGUUUUUCUAGGUGACCAAACAAUAAAGUCUUAAUUUCUUAAAAAUAUCCAAAAUAUAAUAUAAUGCUCAUUACUUCUAAAUUUUUUCAACAAAACAGGGAUGAU
Molecule: long non-coding RNA, 1097 nt
Filed under: Marmota monax (woodchuck)
Lineage: Eukaryota; Metazoa; Chordata; Mammalia; Rodentia; Sciuridae
Source: RNAcentral